GGGCUCGCAGGCGGUUUCCUUAAGUCUGAUGUGAAAGCCCCCGGCUCAACCGGGGAGGGUCAUUGGAAACUGGGAAACUUGAGUGCAGAAGAGGAGAGUGGAAUUCCACGUGUAGCGGUGAAAUGCGUAGAGAUGUGGAGGAACACCAGUGGCGAAGGCGACUCUCUGGUCUGUAACUGACGCUGAGGAGCGAAAGCGUGGGGAGCGAACAGGAUUAGAUACCCUGGUAGUCCACGCCGUAAACGAUGAGUGCUAAGUGUUAGGGGGUUUCCGCCCCUUAGUGCUGCAGCUAACGCAUUAAGCACUCCGCCUGGGGAGUACGGUCGCAAGACUGAAACUCAAAGGAAUUGACGGGGGCCCGCACAAGCGGUGGAGCAUGUGGUUUAAUUCGAAGCAACGCGAAGAACCUUACCAGGUCUUGACAUCCUCUGACAACCCUAGAGAUAGGGCUUUCCCUUCGGGGACAGAGUGACAGGUGGUGCAUGGUUGUCGUCAGCUCGUGUCGUGAGAUGUUGGGUUAAGUCCCGCAACGAGCGCAACCCUUGAUCUUAGUUGCCAGCAUUCAGUUGGGCACUCUAAGGUGACUGCCGGUGACAAACCGGAGGAAGGUGGGGAUGACGUCAAAUCAUCAUGCCCCUUAUGACCUGGGCUACACACGUGCUACAAUGGACAGAACAAAGGGCUGCAAGACCGCAAGGUUUAGCCAAUCCCAUAAAUCUGUUCUCAGUUCGGAUCGCAGUCUGCAACUCGACUGCGUGAAGCUGGAAUCGCUAGUAAUCGCGGAUCACAUG
RNAcentral lists this ribosomal RNA (791 nucleotides) under Bacillus pumilus. RNAcentral describes it as "bacterial SSU rRNA". It matches the Rfam family "Bacterial small subunit ribosomal RNA", at positions 565 to 1356 of the family's 1533-position model. Lineage: Bacteria; Bacillati; Bacillota; Bacilli; Caryophanales; Bacillaceae. The record is from RNAcentral.